CUGCCCUGCACUUCGGGAUAAGCCUGGGAAACUGGGUCUAAUACCGGAUAUGACCUCCUAUCGCAUGGUGGGUGGUGGAAAGAUUUAUCGGUGCAGGAUGGGCCCGCGGCCUAUCAGCUUGUUGGUGGGGUAAUGGCCUACCAAGGCGACGACGGGUAGCCGACCUGAGAGGGUGACCGGCCACACUGGGACUGAGACACGGCCCAGACUCCUACGGGAGGCAGCAGUGGGGAAUAUUGCACAAUGGGCGAAAGCCUGAUGCAGCGACGCCGCGUGAGGGAUGACGGCCUUCGGGUUGUAAACCUCUUUCAGCAGGGACGAAGCGCAAGUGACGGUACCUGCAGAAGAAGCACCGGCUAACUACGUGCCAGCAGCCGCGGUAAUACGUAGGGUGCAAGCGUUGUCCGGAAUUACUGGGCGUAAAGAGUUCGUAGGCGGUUUGUCGCGUCGUUUGUGAAAAC
This 461-nucleotide ribosomal RNA is filed under the name Rhodococcus sp. LC17. Its description in RNAcentral is "bacterial SSU rRNA". It matches the Rfam family "Bacterial small subunit ribosomal RNA", at positions 126 to 601 of the family's 1533-position model. The record is from RNAcentral. Lineage: Bacteria; Bacillati; Actinomycetota; Actinomycetes; Mycobacteriales; Nocardiaceae.